UCUUCCCCCUUUCUUCGUGCCUAAUACAUGCAAGUCGAGCGAACAGACGAGGAGCUUGCUCCUCUGACGUUAGCGGCGGACGGGUGAGUAACACGUGGAUAACCUACCUAUAAGACUGGGAUAACUUCGGGAAACCGGAGCUAAUACCGGAUAAUAUAUUGAACCGCAUGGUUCAAUAGUGAAAGACGGUUUUGCUGUCACUUAUAGAUGGAUCCGCGCCGCAUUAGCUAGUUGGUAAGGUAACGGCUUACCAAGGCAACGAUGCGUAGCCGACCUGAGAGGGUGAUCGGCCACACUGGAACUGAGACACGGUCCAGACUCCUACGGGAGGCAGCAGUAGGGAAUCUUCCGCAAUGGGCGAAAGCCUGACGGAGCAACGCCGCGUGAGUGAUGAAGGUCUUCGGAUCGUAAAACUCUGUUAUUAGGGAAGAACAAAUGUGUAAGUAACUAUGCACGUCUUGACGGUACCUAAUCAGAAAGCCACGGCUAACUACGUG
RNAcentral lists this ribosomal RNA (497 nucleotides) under uncultured bacterium. RNAcentral's name for it is "partial 16S ribosomal RNA". It matches the Rfam family "Bacterial small subunit ribosomal RNA", at positions 36 to 507 of the family's 1533-position model. The record is from RNAcentral.